Molecule: ribosomal RNA, 255 nt
Filed under: uncultured bacterium
Lineage: Bacteria
Description: partial 16S ribosomal RNA
Rfam family: Bacterial small subunit ribosomal RNA
Source: RNAcentral
UACAAAGGGGGCUAGCGUUGCUCGGAAUUACUGGGCGUAAAGCGUGCGCAGGCGGUCUGUUAAGACCGAUGUGAAAUCCCCGGGCUUAACCUGGGAACUGCAUUGGUGACUGGCAGGCUUUGAGUGUGGCAGAGGGAGGUAGAAUUCCACGUGUAGCAGUGAAAUGCGUAGAGAUGUGGAGGAAUACCGAUGGCGAAGGCAGCCUCCUGGGCCAACACUGACGCUCAUGCACGAAAGCGUGGGGAGCAAACAGGA